This 365-nucleotide RNase P RNA is filed under the name Oscillibacter sp. RNAcentral describes it as "partial RNase P RNA component class A". It matches the Rfam family "Bacterial RNase P class A", at positions 42 to 367 of the family's 367-position model. From Rfam's summary of the family: Ribonuclease P (RNase P) is a ubiquitous endoribonuclease, found in archaea, bacteria and eukarya as well as chloroplasts and mitochondria. Its best characterised activity is the generation of mature 5'-ends of tRNAs by cleaving the 5'-leader elements of precursor-tRNAs. Cellular RNase Ps are ribonucleoproteins. The record is from RNAcentral. Lineage: Bacteria; Bacillati; Bacillota; Clostridia; Eubacteriales; Oscillospiraceae.
UGAGGAAAGUCCGGGCUCCACAGGGCAAGGAUAACGGGUAACGCCCGCCGAAGGCGACUUCAGGAAAAGUGCAACAGAGAUAUACCGCCCCGCCUCCCUUCGGGGAAAGCGCCGUGAAGCAGAAUCGGCGGCAUAGCCGGUGAUGACGUGGAACGGGCUGGCGGAGCAAGGAUGGAAAGGUGCGGUAAGAGCGCACCCGACGGCUCGAGAGUGUCCGUCGCUGUAAACUCUAUCCGGAGCAACACCGGUAUGGGAGCGCAUAGGCUGGCCCGGCCGCUCCCGGGGUGGCUAGAGCGCGUUGGCAACAGCGCGUCGAGAUAGAUGACUGUCAGAUACAGAACCCGGCUUACAGUUUUGCUCGCAGA